ACUAUACUAUGUAUUAAAAUUUAAAAGUUGUUUAACUUCAUUGGCAUAACAAUUAACAAUUGGUCCCAUUUAAUUGGAAUCUGUUACAGUUAUAUUCAUCGAUGAAGAAAAAUGUAUAGCAUGUCAAGUUAUUUUGUCAUACUGAGGCUUGUGUCGGAGGCAACGGAGUUUCAAAAUGUGGAGCAAUCAGAGUCAAUGCUUAAAACUAUUUUACUGGGUAUACUUACGUCAACGUCAUCAUGUUGAACACGUUUCAUGAGGAACCCAAGACUACCAAUUUCCCUGCAUUAGGAUUUGCGGUACAGAAAGCACAUAUUGGUCUAUUUGUUGGGAUCGCAAGGGAACCACUCGACAGAGCGACGACGGAAGGCUGUACAACGUUUAAUGUAGCUCCAUAUGGAUACAGAAAUUUUAAAUCUCUGAAAAUUGACAGAAGUUAAAUAAAUAACGCUUGUGAAGGUA
Long non-coding RNA from Orussus abietinus, 462 nucleotides. RefSeq lists it as uncharacterized. The transcript has 4 exons. The record is from RefSeq and is a predicted model, not a curated record. Lineage: Eukaryota; Metazoa; Arthropoda; Insecta; Hymenoptera; Orussidae.